RNAcentral lists this ribosomal RNA (439 nucleotides) under uncultured bacterium. RNAcentral describes it as "partial 16S ribosomal RNA". It matches the Rfam family "Bacterial small subunit ribosomal RNA", at positions 339 to 795 of the family's 1533-position model. The record is from RNAcentral.
CUACGGGGGGCUGCAGUGAGGAAUAUUGCACAAUGGGGGGAACCCUGAUGCAGCAACGCCGCGUGGAGGAUGACGCAUUUCGGUGUGUAAACUCCUUUUAUAUGUCAAGAAAAUGACGGUAGCAUAUGAAUAAGCACCGGCUAACUCCGUGCCAGCAGCCGCGGUAAUACGGAGGGUGCAAGCGUUACUCGGAAUCACUGGGCGUAAAGGACGUGUAGGCGGGUUGGGAAGUCAGGUGUGAAAUCCUACAGCUUAACUGUAGAACUGCACUUGAAACUUCUAAUCUAGAGUAUGGGAGGGGGAGAUGGAAUUAGUGGUGUAGGGGUAAAAUCCGUAGAUAUCACUAGGAAUACCUAAAGCGAAGGCGAUCUCCUGGAACAUUACUGACGCUAAGGCGUGAAAGCGUGGGGAGCAAACAGGAUUAGAUACCCCUGUAGUC